CCAGACUCCUACGGGAGGCAGCAGUGAGGAAUAUUGGUCAAUGGGCGCAAGCCUGAACCAGCCAAGUAGCGUGCAGGACGACGGCCCUAUGGGUUGUAAACUGCUUUUUAAGGUGAAUAAAGAGGGGCACGCGUGCCCUGUUGCAUGUAGCCUUGGAAUAAGGACCGGCUAAUUCCGUGCCAGCAGCCGCGGUAAUACGGAAGGUCCGGGUGUUAUCCGGAUUUAUUGGGUUUAAAGGGAGCGUAGGCCGUAGAUUAAGCGUGUUGUGAAAUGUAGAUGCUCAACAUCUGACUUGCAGCGCGAACUGGUUUACUUGAGUGUGCACAACGUAGGCGGAAUUCGUCGUGUAGCGGUGAAAUGCUUAGAUAUGACGAAGAACUCCGAUUGCGAAGGCAGCUUACGGGAGCACAACUGACGCUGAAGCUCGAAGGUGCGGGUAUCAAACAGGAUUAGAUACCCUGGUAGUCCGCACAGUAAACGCUGGAUGCCCGCUGUUGGUUCAUUAGAGUCAGCGGCCAAGCGAAAGCAUUAAGCAUCCCACCUGGGGAGUACGCCGGCAACGGUGAAACUCAAAGGAAUUGACGGGGGCCCGCACAAG
RNAcentral lists this ribosomal RNA (598 nucleotides) under uncultured bacterium. Its description in RNAcentral is "bacterial SSU rRNA". It matches the Rfam family "Bacterial small subunit ribosomal RNA", at positions 331 to 929 of the family's 1533-position model. The record is from RNAcentral.